AAACCAUGGUGAGGGCACCUUCUCAGUAAAUCUUUGCAUCUCUCUCAUGCAUCGUAAAGUGUUUUUAAAUCCAUAUGCACAAAAGAAGAGAUAUCAUUACAUAAUUU
Molecule: small nucleolar RNA, 107 nt
Filed under: Gossypium hirsutum (cotton)
Lineage: Eukaryota; Viridiplantae; Streptophyta; Magnoliopsida; Malvales; Malvaceae
Description: Plant small nucleolar RNA R71
Rfam family: Plant small nucleolar RNA R71
About the family: R71 is a member of the C/D box family of snoRNAs containing the C (UGAUGA) and D (CUGA) box motifs. Multiple nearly identical copies of this snoRNA have been identified in Arabidopsis, and it is thought to function as a 2'-O-ribose methylation guide for 18S ribosomal RNA.
Source: Rfam by way of RNAcentral